AGCUUCUUUACAGUGCUGCCUUGUUGCAAGCAAGUCAAGCAGCAUUGUACAGGGCUAUGA
This 60-nucleotide microRNA precursor is filed under the name Gekko japonicus. RNAcentral's name for it is "Gja-Mir-103-P2_pre stem-loop". It matches the Rfam family "mir-103/107 microRNA precursor family", at positions 11 to 70 of the family's 78-position model. From Rfam's summary of the family: This family consists of the mammalian microRNA (miRNA) precursors mir-103 and mir107. Animal miRNAs are transcribed as ~70nt precursors and subsequently processed by the Dicer enzyme to give a ~22nt product. The record is from RNAcentral. Lineage: Eukaryota; Metazoa; Chordata; Lepidosauria; Squamata; Gekkonidae.